RNAcentral lists this ribosomal RNA (400 nucleotides) under uncultured bacterium. RNAcentral describes it as "bacterial SSU rRNA". It matches the Rfam family "Bacterial small subunit ribosomal RNA", at positions 355 to 752 of the family's 1533-position model. The record is from RNAcentral.
UGAGGAAUAUUGGUCAAUGGGCGAGAGCCUGAACCAGCCAAGUCGCGUGAAGGAUGAAGGUUCUAUGGAUUGUAAACUUCUUUUGUAAGGGAAUAAAAAGUGGUACGUGUACCAUAUUGUAUGUACUUUACGAAUAAGGAUCGGCUAACUCCGUGCCAGCAGCCGCGGUAAUACGGAGGAUCCAAGCGUUAUCCGGAUUUAUUGGGUUUAAAGGGUGCGUAGGCGGAUCUUUAAGUCAGUGGUGAAAGUUUGCGGCUCAACCGUAAAAUUGCCAUUGAAACUGAAGAUCUUGAGUGCAAAUGAGGUAGGCGGAAUGUGUUGUGUAGCGGUGAAAUGCUUAGAUAUAACACAGAACCCCGAUUGCGAAGGCAGCUUACUGGGAUGCAACUGACGCUGAGGC